ACAGCUUUCAACUCGGCAGAAAACCUACCUGCGUGGCUGCGCUUUGUCAAUUAAUUGUAUAUAGUGGGACAAGUUAUCUCUUCUCAGCGUGAGAAAUACAAGGUGUUAUGUGAGAACGUGUGAAAUGGUUGAGAUGCGUGAGACUCGAGAGCCCUUAAGUUUAGAUUUAAAAUGUACCUUUCAAGAUACUUUUUCACCUAAAUGCGGAACAGUUUCCAAAUGUUGAAGUAUGAAGUUACAAUUACAACUUCCAGCGUUGAGCUUGUUAACAUCUGUAACUACAUUCAAGAUUUGGCACCGACACGAGCACAACGUUAUAUUUCGCCACCUGCAAACAUCGAAGAAAAACAUCGCGUGGGUAUUUUAAUUUGGAAAUGAGGACAAGCUCCAGACAGUGUGCUGUUCAGCCUUCUAGUUUCCUGAAAGGAGGAAGAGACUGUCGUCCGCAUCUAGUGGCGGAGACCAGGAGAGUGGCACUAAAUCAGUCCUUCCCUUA
Hypomesus transpacificus is the source of this 496-nucleotide long non-coding RNA. RefSeq lists it as uncharacterized. The record is from RefSeq and is a predicted model, not a curated record. The transcript is spliced from 3 exons. Lineage: Eukaryota; Metazoa; Chordata; Actinopteri; Osmeriformes; Osmeridae.